CGCGGAGGAGCAUUUAAUUGGAAGUUCAGGCCUUCUUCCUAACCGAUGUCGCAAGACUUGCUCAGAGGUGGGGUUUGAACCAUGUUUCUGAGGCAAGUGUGCUACCACUGCGCCACGGCUGCUCUAAGAUUCAAAUUUAAUAGCUGAAGUAAAUAAUUUGACACAAUGUUUAUCAUUACAAGGCGAUAUUAAUAAUGUUUUAAAGUGGUGUAAAUGUUUUAAAGAUUGGUUAAUUAACUUAAAUGUCAACAAAUAUAAAGUUAUGCACAUUGGCAAACAGAAUUUAAUGUACAAUUAUAGUAUAAAUAAAGUAGAUGGCGCACAACUAGUCUUAAAAUCGUUGAAUGAAGAAAGAGAUUUAGGAAUCACGAUAAGAUCGGAUUUGAAAUGGAAAACAUAAGAAGAAAAUGUAUUUGAUCCACUACUCAAUGCAACUAAGGCCUGGUACACGUUUUUCCGAACAAAAAUAAUUAUUGGAAUCUCCUGGGAUUCGAAGAAAAAGUUGGUUUUAAUUUUUAAAAAUGUUAUUGUAAAAAUAGUAUUUUUUGAUUUACUUGAUUUUUAUUUUAAAUAUAAAAAUAAUUCAAAAA
This is a long non-coding RNA of Hydra vulgaris (swiftwater hydra), 590 nucleotides long. RefSeq lists it as uncharacterized. Lineage: Eukaryota; Metazoa; Cnidaria; Hydrozoa; Anthoathecata; Hydridae. The record is from RefSeq and is a predicted model, not a curated record.